Populus trichocarpa (black cottonwood) is the source of this 3378-nucleotide long non-coding RNA. RefSeq lists it as uncharacterized. NCBI's taxonomy places the organism in Eukaryota, Viridiplantae, Streptophyta, Magnoliopsida, Malpighiales, Salicaceae. The transcript has 2 exons. The record is from RefSeq and is a predicted model, not a curated record.
AUGUAACUUUGUAGAUAUUUCCUAUUGAGAAUCCUUUACUGUUUAUUCACUGUGCACUAAACACUCUAAUUACUGUGGACUUCAACAGUGAUUCAGCCUUUAUCUCUUUCACACGGGUUCUUGCCUCAUUUUGUCUUUGUCACGUUCUAAUUUGUUCUGGCUUUGUCUCGCUGCGUGGCGCGCCUCAGGGGUUUGUUGUGUCAUGAUCAGAGAUCGGUUGGCUCUGUCUUUCUCUCACUGUGUGGCGCGCCUCAGGGGUUUUUGUUCCAUAAUCAAAGGCUUGAUUUGGGUUGUUUGCGCGCAUGGGUUGUUUGUUGAGCUGUUUGUUUAUGGUGUUUCCAGCGGCUGGGUCGCUUGAACUUCUACGCAAGUCAAUGAUGGGUUUUGGUGCCAGUGAUGUUUGUGGCUUGGUCAUGUCUGAUUUUCAAAGAAGUGGACCCAUAAGCAUGAUUGUGCAUUGAACAUUAUGUUCACCUGGCAGGGUUUUGUCUAUAGGACAGCAUUGGAGAAGCUGCUGGUUUCCGGGUUGGAUUAGACCUUUGUUUCAUCUGGACGAAAAUUUUUGGGGCUUUAACUUAAGUGUUUCGCUUUUUUUAUUAUGCUUUUUUGGCUUUUUUACUGUGACGAGAUCUAUCUUUCACGCUGUUCUAGUUUCGUCCCGUCCUGUUUAAUUGUUUUUUUAUUUGGCUGCCAUGCUUUUUCCUUGGGAUUCCUGCUCCUUCACAUCAUUUUUUUUUCUUAGGGAGUUUCUUGCUUCUCUUCUUUGUUUUUUAGGGUGGUUUUCUUCUCUGAGGUCUGGUGGUUUGGUGUUUGAUUUUUUUUCCCUUUUAUGAUAGUCAUUGUUCUUGAUGAGCUUUUUUUUUUUUUUCAUCAUAACCUCCACUAUUUCGGUUUUUUUGGUUCUGUUGUUGUGUCCUUUCUUGAUGUUUUUUAGCGUCGUUUCACUGUUUCGAGUUUCUUUCAUUGAACGUGCAGGCUGAAGUUCUGUGCGUCGUUCCACGAAGGAGCUGGUUAGCUAUCUGUUGGCUGGAACUGAAGCUUUUCUCUUUUGGUGCUCUGUCACAGUUCUUGCUUGGUGCUCCUCAUUGUCCCUGUUUUUCCUCUAAUUGUAGUUUCAUUUUAAUCUUUUGAUUUUUUCUUUCAACUGUUUUUUGCCGGCUGCUCCUUAAGAGAAGUCAUUUUAUUUCACCAUUAAUGCACCAGAUAAUCUAUCAACCUGAGAAUUCAGACUUUUAACUAAAAUUCAUUUCAAGAUCUGAGCUUUAUGCAGGUUUGGAUUCUAGAAUCAACUUCUCCUCUCACAAGACAAUUAGUUAACAGGAAACAAUUAGGUAACCGAGGCCUCAUAACUGACACAAUUAAAAGUUCUAGAAUUAAUGGUCGUUCCUGUGAAAAACAUUAAGAAAUAUGUUAUUUACCAAUUGAUCCGAGCAAGAGUGUGUCGCGUUUGGAUUCCUAAACAAAAUGGCAUAAACAGCAGCUUUAAUUGCCUCUUUGUAGAUCAACAAGUUCGUUGCUUUUUCAUAAGUUAAACUGUUAAACUAUUCAUAAUAUUUUUAUUUUGCCUUGCAAAUUUUAUAAGCUUUAAUUAUUUUUUGUUAAUUUUAGACACUAUGUUUUGCUUAUUAUAAUUUGCUGUAAAAUUAAAUGCUGCGACUUUAAUUUGCUUAGGCCCUACAUUUUAAACAAGCACUGAUAACACAUUUCCUUUAUAAUUUUUCACUUAUUGAUGAGUGUUCCAACUUGACUCUUAGUUUUAGUAUGAAAUUUAGUUUAUAAUUCUAUAUCAUACAAGCAAUAUUCCACUGUAUUAUUUGAGAAAAAAAUGUAUUACUUUUAUUUCUAAAUCUGUUAUAUUAUCUAAUUCCAUAGUUAAUAAAUAUAUUAUGUGACCUCAUGCAAUCAAUUCAUUGCAUUGUCGUCUCUUGCAUUACUACUUUUUGACAUCUCAUCGUCUUGCUCAAUUCAUUCCAACAUAGAAAUAAAAUAAUUACAGGGUGAUGCAAUACAAGGGUCAACAAAAACUAGAUAUGAAGGUGAAUUUUAUGAAAUAGAAGGCUUUUGAAAUACAUUUCAUGCUUUUCACAUACCUUUGUAUUUUGAAUUAUAAUUUUGCGACUCCUCAAAAUAAUGCCUUUUUAAAUCUGUUGCCUUUCCUAAAAUUUAAUUCAAGACAUAUAUGACUCAUUUAAACAUUUAAUCGCAUUCUUCAAUUUAGACCUUUUAAUUUAGCUGCAUGCUUAUAACCAUUGGUACAGAACUUUCUAUGACCUAUCUUGUCUUUUGCUCCCUUCAGCAUAGAGACUUCUCACUCUAACAUCUUUGACAUUUCAUUUAAAUUGGAUCCUGCACAUGUGAUAAGUCAUUAAAUUAACAAUCUUAUCCUGUUGACAGCAAUAUGGUGCAAGCAGGAUCACUCACCACCGAGAUCAUUCAAUCACAAACUCAUGCUUCCAUUGAAAGCAACACUCCAGCUGAGCCACCUGCAAAAAAAUACUCGCCUGGCAGUUUCAUCUACUUCAAAGAAAAACUAUAAUUAAAAACCCGCUGCAUAGCACGGGUUAAAGGGCUAGUGGUGCCACUAUGCCAUGAAGAAAUAAAAUUAGCUCCAGCUCCAGCACCAGCACCAACAGUUGGUGUACAUAUCGGAUUGAUGUUGUUGUUGAAAAAGUUGAUGGGCAGCAUAUAAAACGGAGGAAUGACUAAACACAAUCCAUUUGCUCAUCUUACAGAUCCCAUUCCAUUUGGCAAAAAAAUUGUAUCAGCUUGUUUUUCUUAUGCUCCUAAAGGAUGUAAAUGGGUGGCGCGCAUAGCCUAGCCAAGAAUGCCCUUGUUUCAGUCUCUCUUUUGGGGAGCUUCUGAUGUAGUCUUAGUAUUAUAGCUUAGUCAUGUAUAACGAGCUACUCCUUUACUUCAUUGUUGAGUAGAGGUAUAGAAUUCAUGGCAUGAAAAUGUUAAUAGAACAAGAUAAAAAAGCGCAGCUCAAAUAAAGAAAGAAAGAUAAGCUGAAGCAACAGUCAACAGAGAUGGCCAACAUGCACGACUGAUCUGCAGCAAAAUACAGCAGAAACCGGGUGAUUAAAACAAAGAGAUGAAACAAAAACCCAAACUAAACCAGAUUUGGGUACUGCAAAUCACCAACCCGAAGACGAAGACAGCUAAAAACAACUCGAGCAAGAAUCAUCAGCAAAUCUGCAUCUAAGCUUGCAGAAGACAUGAUGCUGAAAAGAACAAAUGCAAUCUGCACAGAGAACCUUUAAGGCAUCCAACCAUCACAGAACACAGGACCUUCAAUGCACCGAAAAACAUAGCACUGAGAGGAAAAAUGAGCUGCAGCAGCAGACCAGACCAUAUGGCACAUGAGACACUGAGAUUAAA